Long non-coding RNA from Boleophthalmus pectinirostris (great blue-spotted mudskipper), 291 nucleotides. RefSeq lists it as uncharacterized. The transcript is spliced from 3 exons. The record is from RefSeq and is a predicted model, not a curated record. Lineage: Eukaryota; Metazoa; Chordata; Actinopteri; Gobiiformes; Gobiidae.
AUCUAGGCAGGGACCGACAGGGUCCGACAGGGUCCGACAGGUGCGUGUGUUCAGGGUCCGACAGGUGUGUGACAGGUGUGUGUGUUCAGGGUGUGACAGGUGUGUGACAGGUGUGUGACAGGUGUGUGUGUUCAGGGUGUGACAGGUGUGUGACAGGUGUGUGACAGGUGUGUGACAGGUGUGUGUGUUCAGGGUGUGUGACAGGUGUGUGACAGGUGUGUGUGUUCAGGGUGUGACAGGUGUGUGUGUGACAGGUGUGUGUGUUCAGGGUGUGACAGGUGUGUGACAGGU